RNAcentral lists this ribosomal RNA (253 nucleotides) under uncultured bacterium. RNAcentral's name for it is "partial 16S ribosomal RNA". It matches the Rfam family "Bacterial small subunit ribosomal RNA", at positions 524 to 776 of the family's 1533-position model. The record is from RNAcentral.
UACGUAGGGGGCUAGCGUUGUCCGGAAUCAUUGGGCGUAAAGCGCGCGUAGGCGGCCAGAUAAGUCCGGUGUGAAAGUCAAAGGCUCAACCUUUGAAUGCCGCUGGAAACUGUCUGGCUAGAGUCCGGAAGGGGCGAGUGGAACUCCUGGUGUAGCGGUGAAAUGCGCAGAUAUCAGGAAGAACACCAAUGGCGAAAGCAGCUCUCUGGGACGGUACUGACGCUGAGACGCGAAAGCGUGGGGAGCGAACAGG